CGGAGUAAUGUAUGGGGAUCUGCCUGAUGGCGGGGGAUAACUACUGGAAACGGUAGCUAAUACCGCAUAAUGUCUACGGACCAAAGCGGGGGACCUCCGGGCCUCGCGCCAUCAGAUGAACCCAUAUGGGAUUAGCUAGUAGGUGAGGUAACGGCUUACCUAGGCGACGAUCCCUAGCUGGCCUGAGAGGAUGAUCAGCCACACUGGGACUGAGACACGGCCCAG
This 225-nucleotide ribosomal RNA is filed under the name uncultured bacterium. RNAcentral's name for it is "partial 16S ribosomal RNA". It matches the Rfam family "Bacterial small subunit ribosomal RNA", at positions 106 to 334 of the family's 1533-position model. The record is from RNAcentral.